Molecule: long non-coding RNA, 265 nt
Filed under: Lathyrus oleraceus (garden pea)
Lineage: Eukaryota; Viridiplantae; Streptophyta; Magnoliopsida; Fabales; Fabaceae
Description: Pisum sativum (pea) long non-coding RNA (PSAT_LNC023661)
Source: RNAcentral
AACAACAAUGGAAAAGAGAGAAAGCUCGAGUAUUAUAGAAAGAGUUAAGAUGAGGAUUCACGUAAUGAAGAGGUGAUGCAAAUAAACCUGAAACGAGGACCUGCAUAAAAAAAUGACAAUAAAGGAAAAAUCUACAAAUGAGGAAGAAGGUGAAGAAAAGUUUCUUGAACUCCACAAUUGGUAAAAGAGGAAAAGUUGCAAGUUGGAAGGGUCUUAUGUAUAUUCCCACUAUGACGAACCAAACGAUAUCCUACGUUGAAAAGCG